GGAGAAAAGGAGGAAGGGAGGAUAGGGCGGCUCACUGGGGCUGACGCUGCCCGAACGGCUCAGAGGCCCGGGAAUCUCCGCUCCUCUCUAAGCGGAAAAGGCGCCCCCCCCCCCCCUCCCCACUCUCGGCUCUCUCUCCUCCUUCCUCUCGCAACGCAACUUCAGCUCGGAGCGCACCUCCCUCUCCCCGCCUCCUUCCCAGCCUCCCCAGGCUUAGAUUGUCUGGAGAGCUCGCCCUCGGACAGACCGGGAAACUUGAGCCCCUUGGAGCGGCGCUGGGAAACCUGCCUCCUCUACCCGACGGGCGGACGCUGCAGUCUCCGAACCCCCUCUUUCCCCUCUUCCACUCGGACUCGAAUUCGACUGUUCACUAGUCCGCGAGGAAAGUCUUUCUUCUCGUCCACUUUUGCAGGCGCAGCUGGGUCCCCAGCCUCGGCAGCCUCCCUAAGUCUAGGGGAGAAGGAUCCUACCCGCUAGGGAAAGCUGCGAACUCCUGGAGCCAGUUCUUCGCGUCCUUCUUCCCUCCUCCCUCCGCCACGCAUCUCUCUCCUCUCUACGUGGGGCUCAGGCUGAAACCCAGAACAACAAAACGCAGAUCUCUCCCGACCGCUGCCUUUUCUCCUUUUCCCUCCCUCCCUCGUUCCUCUUUUUUUUUUUCUUUUCCUUUGGAGGAAAGAUCCGUGGGCGCCUCCGAAACUACAGACUCUCCUAGAGACCACUUCUUCGGAGCUAAAAUAGAUUCAGAGACGUGGGGUCUUUCUCGUCUCUCCGAACCUCCUCCCCGGUCUCCAGCCAGCUAUUGAAAGAACCCAAAACAACCCCUAGACAAACCCAGGACCGUUUCGGGGAAGGGAAUGUGGUGGUUUUGAGAACGGAACCCCCCUUUCUAGCCCCCAACUAAUCUAUGCAGCUAUGUCUUCAUUUAUAGGCGCUUCUGCCUGGUCUAGGCUUCCCAACAGCUGAGACGCGCCCAGGACUGGCAUGGAUCUCUGCGCGGCGACUCUCUGAUCCUACCUCCAGGCUGCCCAGGGAGCUAGCCGAGGGAGCGGAGCCGCCAGACGGACCGCAGCGGGCGCGGAUACUCGCAGCGAGUCGGGUUGGGGUGCUGGGGGUGGGGGGCGGGUAGGCGCCGAUGGACGGGGAGAUGAAGGUCUGAGGCUCGGUUCUGUGAAACGUGACCAUGUGGAUUAAACAGCUCUUAGGAAUCAGUUCGAUGUCUGUCCACUGGUCGGGUUGCCAUAUAGGAAGCCAUGCUUGGAUACUUAUAGCCAUGUUUCAACUAGCCAUGGAUUUCCCCACCUGCGAAUCUCUAGCCCAAGGCCCAGAGUUCAGACUCUUGCCUCGGCCUUUCCAUAAUCCCCGGUUGUGGAGUUUUAAGAGUGGACUGGCAACGAAGAUCCCCACCCCUUUAUGGAACCUUCUUUCAUUCCGUCCUGAACGUGCACAUGGGCAAAUGCGGACAUAUCAUUCCAGAGGGACCCACAGAACCAGGGACCAUGGGAUCAUCUCUUUGAAAAGUGGGCCAUCAAAACAUCCAGAAGCUGCCAAAUUCAAUCCUUCUAUUCUGUCCUUGGUGGGAAGUGGGAGUAUAGAACAGCAGACACCUUUGAGAAGGGACAAAAGGCACCUACAAGGGGGUAGUUUGAAUAAUUUUAACUUCAGAGGGAGCAAACCCACAGUGGAAACUGAAUUCAUUGCCUGGGGUCCCACAGGGGAAGAAGAAUCUGUAGAAUCUAGUACAUCUCCUGGGAUUUAUGGCCCCACCACUAUCUCCAUUUUACAAACCAGAAAGACAACUGUGGCUACCACCACCACCACCACCACAAGUUAUGUCACUCUACAGACUAAGGGAUUCUCAGAAUCCCUUAGUCCUGGGAUUAAGAACAGCCCUAACUAUCCGGGUAGGAUUAGCACAACAGAACUCUCCACUGUCCCCAACAGCAAUGGCAAAGACAUCACACCUCCACGGAUUCUGGGCGAGACCUCAGGUCUGGCUGUCCAUCAGAUAAUAACCAUCACUGUCUCCCUCAUCAUGGUAAUAGCUGCUCUGAUUACAACUCUUGUCUUAAAAAAUUGCUGUGCACAAAGUGGAAACACUCGGAGGAACAGCCACCAACGGAAAAUCAAUCAGCAAGAAGAGAGCUGCCAAAACCUGACAGAUUUCACUCCUGCCCGGGUGCCCAGCAACUUGGACAUAUUUACCGCCUAUAAUGAAACCCUACAGUGCUCACAUGAGUGUGUUAGGACCUCAGUGCCCGUGUAUACUGAUGAGACUUUGCACCCAACUGGAGAGUAUAAAACCACCUUUAAUGGAAACAGACCUUCUUCUUCUGAUCGACAUCUAAUUCCCGUGGCCUUUGUGUCUGAGAAAUGGUUUGAAAUCUCCUGCUGACUGGCCGAAGUCUCUUUUACUUCCUGGGGGCAGGGCAGACGCCAUGUGUCUAUUUCCUGGAUUCCGUUGGUGAACCUGUAAAAACAAACAAAAAUAAACAAACAAAAAAAUGAAAAAAAAAAACAAAAAAUGAAAACAAAAACAAAAACAAAAAAAGCCCUAAGACUAAAAUUAGGGGAGAAUGUCCCCAAACCUACCAUUUCUGUUUGCCAGUGGAGAACUCAUGGAGCAGAACUCUAUAGGCCAAAUAUAUUUUUAUAUAAAAAAAAAUGAACGUGCCUAUAGGCAACCUUUAUUAUCCCCAAGGAAUUUUUUUUGGGGGGAAGAAGAGAAAAGUUUCCAGAAAUAAGGGGGAAAAUGAUUCUCUGAAGACAUAAGGAAGAAAAUGAGACCAAGUGCAAAGGACAAGAUGGACCGCCUGGAGAUGAGGAUUUGGACAAUGAUUCUGAACCUGUGCCAAUAACACCAUUACGUGCCAUGUACUGAGCUGAAAGAUUUUGUUUCAAACAUGAAGCUGAGUUAAUUACACAUAGAAAUAUUACAGAAAACAGGGUUGGGGGUUUCUCUUCUGAGACAGUCAAUAUUUCUGGUUAAUAUACAUAUAUAAAUAUAUAAAUACAUACAUGAACACACACACACAAAGACACCUUUUUGUACUGUAGCAAUUUUUGAAGCUCUUAAAUGUUCCUUUUUAAAGAAAAAUGUGUCAUGGGUUACAGAAUCUGAUUUAUUUAACAUGCUUAGUAUGGACUAAAUAAACUGGUGUUUUUUACUUCGGCAACUUGCCUCUCCAACAUAUAUCUAUAUACAUAUAUAUUCACACAAGCAUAUAUAUGAUCAUUUAGAAACAUUUCCACUAGUGAGCAGUAUUCUUCUCAAGACCCAUUAUUUUAUCACCAUCAACUCCAGGGAACAGCCUUAGUCAACACCCUGGAAUACUCAUUGUAAAUGUGUUUACUUACCAGCAGCCACUAUCUAAUGCUUCUACUUUAGAUUGGAAGUACAGUGUCCUGGUUCUAUUUUUGUUAUUGUAGUUAUUUUUUUUUAAUCAUUUGGUUGUUUAAAGAUACUACCUAAGAGCCAGAGGCACAAUUUUGUUUGGUGACUGGCUAUUCUUGAAGAGGACUAUGGGUAGUAUAAUGCUGGAGGGUGAGGGGUAUGUGUCAUGGAUCCUUGGAGCCUAUGAGUGUGGCGUAAAGAUAGAAUGAUGAGUGAGUCUCAAAAUUAAAAUCAUUUAUACAUGUGUAUCUGCGUGUAUGCAUGUAUGUGUGUCUAGAGCUAUUCCAAACUGGAUGGGUCAGAUUCAGGAGGUGGUAUAUUCCCAAUUGAAGAUCUUCAAGUAAAGGCUGGAUGACAGGUAUGUCAUAGAGGAAAUGCUUUUUUCAGAUAUGUUUGUCUAGAUGGCUGCUGAUGUUCCUUCUAACUACAAAAUUCUGUUACUGUGCAUGCAUGUGUGCGUGCAUGAGUGUGUGUAUGUAUGUGUGUGUGAGAAAAGCACUCAGAAAAGUUGUUCAUUUUAUUCUCUCUGGAAAUCACAGCAAUUUGAUCCUAAAAUGACCCAGGAAGUUCACACUUGAACAGUGAAUGUGCAUAUCCAGCCUGCGCAGAAGUCACCUCAAACAUUCCCCUAAAUUAGACUUAUACUGAUAAAACCUAAAGGGGACUGAGGGUAAGUUUCAAUCUACAUCAUGGGUCUGAACUUCCAUUUCUGAGAACUGUGAGAAUACUUCCAUUUAUUAUUUAUUAAUCCAGGAUCCCUUCAUUGGGGUCAAGUACCCUGCAAAUCCUCUGACAAUUCUUGGUUAAUGUAAACACAAACCAGAACACUGUAAUCAAUAGCUACAUCCAUGCACCACUACCAAAUAUAAUCCACACCAAAUCUGCCAAUACACCAAAGGAAUGGAUGGUCUCAGUGAGGGUCAUGGACUUGGUGCCUUGGUACCAUGCAGAGGAAAAUACCAUCUUUUACAUAGGAAGCUGAAUGAAUGUCAGGAGUAGAAUUUCUGAUCCUGGAGGCUCAUGCUUAGUCAUGGAACUGGAAUGUCCUAUGGAUAUGCCAUCCACACUGUCCCACUUGGUCCUCCUUGGGGCUAAGUACAAGCAUUUGCCACAUGGUUGACCAAGCCCAAGGCUGAACUCUUGUUUCAAGAUACAGUUUCAGACUAUGGAACAGUAUUUUUUGUGGGAAGCUAACUGGUCCCUGUAGGGAUUAAUCCUGUGACCUUUUGUCUCAUUAACACUGUGCUUCAACCAACUAAGCUGAAUGCACCCAACAAGUGGAUCAUUGACUGAAUAGGCAGCAAUUCUUUCCACUUUUUUUUUUUUGCCUAAACCAUUGAGACAUAAAUAUAGAUGAAUCCCUGACUCUUUAACCAGGGCAAUCCUCACCUUCAAACAAGUGUAAACUUGAAAAGUAAACUUUUUUCUACAUUUAGAAAUGAGGAAGGAAAAGAGGAACUUUUUUAAAAAUAUUUUUUUAGCAACUUCAUUGCUUUGUCUGUGUUCUGUUCCUUCUAAAGGGUGGGUAAAGAGGACCUUAAAUAGUCUAGUAAAGGAAGGGAUGACGCAUAAGAGAUCCUUCUACAAAUUGCUUUUGGUCAUUUGAUCGUCACCUCCGCUAAGGAAAGGUAAACUAUGUACCUCUUAUAAAAAAAAUAUCCUUCAAUAUCCAGAUAUUUACAUCCAAGUCUUGGGAAUCCCUCUUGAGAGAUCACUGUUAUUGCUGAUAUCUAUGCAGUCAAGUUGGGUUGCCUUUGGCAGCCUGAUUCUUUGAGUAAAUGAAGCUGGAGGUGAUCACAAGUACAUUCUGACUCUGAGUCUGGAUUCCACAGCAAGAUGGAUGGACCACCUGACUUGUGAUCUUAAAUUGCACUCAUAGGUGCAGUUUUCCCUAGAUGAAGAAUUUCAAUUCAAUAUAAUCCAAUUCAAGGCAAUCUGAACCAAUUGAAAUCAAGGCAUGUAUUAAGCACAUGCUCUAUGAUGGUUACUCUAAGAAGACAACCACUUUAUGAAUUUUCAAAGGAGACAACAACACAGUAUCCACAUUCUUGAGUACACAGAAUCUGAAUGGAUGAUGGUUUUCUCAUGUGCAUGCAUAAGUGGAAUAGUUUUUUGGUUUGUUUCUUUUUCUUUGUUCCCCACCCUUGGCCCGUCCAUUGCCCACCAUUUCAUUUUUUUAAAUUCAAAUCAGAAGCAGAAAGGGAGUUAUCUUCUUCCAGGGCAAAGCAGCUGAAUUGUCAGUACUCAUUUCCUGCUAGUUGGAAGGAGUUGAUGGAUUUUUUUAGAUCAUCUCCUAGACACCUUCUAUAGAAAGAUGAUAUCUGAGUAUGAAAAGGAUCUGAUGGAAAAUAAACAGAUUUAUAAAAUCUAGUAGCUUAUUCAGAUCAGAGUGUAAAAAGAAAAGUAUUAAUUGUACUAUAUGGACUAUCACCACCCAUUCAUUUAAGUGAAUACCUACUGUGUACAAGGCAUUGCUGAUUUAUGAUUUUUCCCACAGUGAUUAGAUUUUAAUUAUAUAAUCUUAAUGAGACAAUCAGCCAGAGAUGAAUGGGACAACAUUUGGGGUGUGAUGAGGCUAACAAUUUAGCUCUGGAUUUGGCCUCACUGAAUAUUAGUCUUAGCAAUUCUGUAUCUGCUUUGAGCCAAUACAUUCCCUUCUACCUUCUAUAACCAACAAUAACACCCCACAACUUUUGUCCUAGUCUAUUAUCCAAUGUCUUUUCAUUUCCACAGUUUCCUUUGGCUCUUAGGAAAGGGAUACUAAGAUCAGACAGCUCAUCUUAAAGCUGAGAACUUUGCUCAUGUCCUAUUAACAUUUCUCCUCUAAAUAAGAGGAACUUUACCUUGUUAGUAUCAUGGCUUUCCUUGGCAGUCUACUGAAGUUUAUGUACCAUUUCUCAGACUAAUUUUUUAAAUGUAUAAAAUGGAAUACAAAAGUUUACAAAGGAAAUAAAUUUUAUUAAAAUGAAAUUAUACAUAUUUGCACACAUACAAUUUCUGCAUAUGUAUACACACAUGUAUAUACAUAUGAACAUGUUUACAUUAUAUAUAUAUUCAUGGACCCCUAGUUAAGAACUCCUGUUCUAUUGCAAAUGAUCCCAGGAUUAAUGGAAAUGGAAUCAUCAUUUUAGUAAUUUGCUUAGUAGAUUGAAAAUUCACCUGAACAUCUGAUUUGGUCUUUGGGUAGUUAACUAAAUCUUGAUUUUGUUUUUGGAAGGACCUAAGCCAGCAGAGUGACCUCCCCAUUUGAUGCAAACUCACAUUGAUUCUACGUUUGCCCCCAUCUCUUUAUUAGGGUAUGCUUGCUCUUAUAAUAAUACUUCCUGAAUUUUGAUCAGAGAUUUCCUCUGACAUAUGCAGAAUAGCUAUGAAGUUAUCGACUCUACUGCCUCAGAGUCAAAAAGAAAGCCAUAUUGGUUAUUGGGUCUUCCUGUACUACUUCCUGGUAGUUCUGACUUCUUGACUCCUUACACAUCAGAGUAGGUGUGGCCAUACAAUAUGCAAAAAUACCCCUGUUGUGCUCCAGCAGAUAAAGAAAGCAAGUCAGAAAUCCAGGUCACUUGAUGCCCAUUUUGUAGCCUUGAAGGUACGUAAAUGUUACAUCUUAUAUGAGAUUAAAAAGAGAGAAGUGAUAUUUUAGCCAUAAUUCCCAUGAUGUUUGAUCCACCUAGCCCCCAGUUUUUAUAGACUUAUUGAGUUGGCUGACAUAUUUGUUGCCAACUGGACAAUCUAAACGAUUAUUUAUAGAUUUCUAUCAUCACCGAACCUGGAUACCCACUGGCUCUCUAUCCUCAAACAGUCAUAAUGAUGCUGGUGUCCAUGGGCACAUUGAUUUACUCACAACCACCUGCUAGCCUAAAAAGACUGUUCCUCUUUCCACUGCGUUUUCUUUUCUUCUUUUUGGUAAGUCUUUCUACAGGUAUUUUCUGUCUCUGUCUCUAUAAGUCUCUGUCUCUCUGCCUCUCUCUCUUCCUCUCUGUCUCUGUGUGUCUCUCUCUG
RNA transcript from Dromiciops gliroides (monito del monte), 7390 nucleotides. It is a transcript of the gene named adherens junctions associated protein 1, with no coding region annotated. Lineage: Eukaryota; Metazoa; Chordata; Mammalia; Microbiotheria; Microbiotheriidae. The record is from RefSeq and is a predicted model, not a curated record. The transcript has 6 exons.